UUUCAAGAUCCAAAAAAGUAGAAAAAGGGAGAAAGUGAAAAAUGAAUAGGGAACUUUUCUUUUAAAAAUGAAUUCCCUCCAUUUUCUUCUGGUAGAAAAAAUGCAACACAAUGCAUUCCAUACGUAAUAAGUUACAUUUCCUCUUAUCUUCAUUAUCCAAACCUUAUACUCAAAACCAGACACAAGUCUUCUCUCAUCUCUCUUUCAAACACACUCAGUAAACAUACCUUCAAAAGUGCAACAUCCAAACUUCAACAAAAACUUCAUACUACUCACCUCCAUCUUAACACCACCACCGCGGACUCACUGUUCACGCCGAACCACCAACACUUUGCACCGCUCCUGCCAGCUCCAACAACCACAAACCGCCACUAUUCAUGUGAUACUCUUCCAAACAACCAUCAAUGUCGUCACUUUGAAAGUUCAACCCCGCGUUUCAUUAUUGCCAACAUCAAAACCUCUCUUCGCGAAACUCCUACCAUCCACCAAAACUCAACUCUCACUUGCAUCAUCCAACAACGUCCAUCCACGGUGAAACCGAAAAAAAUCCAACUAUGACACACAUCCAAACCUCAACAAAGACAACUAAUCCACCAUUUUAACAAACGUCAGCCACCACCCUCAGUAACUAUAAACUGUUAACCACCAUCAUUGUCAAACUACACUCAAAACCAACUCCAGCGAAGCAUUUCGAUAACUCUAGCGAGCAUAAUAACUCCAUAUCCGAUAACUAAGUCUGAAUAUGUUGUUUCUUUGUGUAUUAUAUUAUGUUUAUUUUUCAUUUUGCAUUGGGUACAUGUUGUUGUUGUGAUUAUACUUUCGACUAUCGUGUAUAUUCUGUUGUGAUGUCUAUGAGUGCUGGCUGUGAU
This 869-nucleotide long non-coding RNA is filed under the name Lathyrus oleraceus (garden pea). RNAcentral describes it as "Pisum sativum (pea) long non-coding RNA (PSAT_LNC023379)". Lineage: Eukaryota; Viridiplantae; Streptophyta; Magnoliopsida; Fabales; Fabaceae. The record is from RNAcentral.